This 22-nucleotide microRNA is filed under the name Shrimp white spot syndrome virus. Its description in RNAcentral is "wssv-mir36_3p". The record is from RNAcentral. Lineage: Naldaviricetes; Nimaviridae.
GAAUAGUUUUAGUGCAACAACU